UCCGGUUUAACACCGGCAGUCUCCCUAGAGUCCCCGGCAUGACCCGCUGGCAACUAGGGACAAGGGUUUCGCUCGUUAAGGGACUUAACCCGACAUCUCACGACACGAGCUGACGACAGCCAUGCACCACCUGCACACAGGCCACAAGGGAACCGACAUCUCUGCCGGAAUCCUGUGCAUGUCAAGCCUAGGUAAGGUUCUUCGCGUUGCAUCGAAUUAAGCCACAUGCUCCGCCGCUUGUGCGGGCCCCCGUCAAUUCCUUUGAG
Molecule: unclassified non-coding RNA, 266 nt
Filed under: uncultured bacterium
Lineage: Bacteria
Description: contains 16S-23S intergenic spacer region
Source: RNAcentral